This 247-nucleotide ribosomal RNA is filed under the name uncultured bacterium. RNAcentral's name for it is "partial 16S ribosomal RNA". It matches the Rfam family "Bacterial small subunit ribosomal RNA", at positions 796 to 1041 of the family's 1533-position model. The record is from RNAcentral.
UACGCUGUAAACGAUGGAUACUAGCAUUCGGAGGUGUCGACCCCUUCGGUAGCGAAGCUAACGCGUUAAGUAUCCCGCCUGUGUAGUACGAGCGCAAGCUUAAAACAUAAAGGAAUUGACGGGGACCCGCACAAGUGGUGGAGCGUGUUCUUUAAUACGAGGCUAAGCGUAGAACCUUACCAGGGUUUGAAAUCCCGAGAAGUCUUUCGAAAGUUAGAUGUGCCUUAUGGAACUCGGUGACAGGUGU